Molecule: ribosomal RNA, 494 nt
Filed under: uncultured bacterium
Lineage: Bacteria
Description: bacterial SSU rRNA
Rfam family: Bacterial small subunit ribosomal RNA
Source: RNAcentral
AUUGAACGCUGGCGGCGUGCUUAACACAUGCAAGUCGAUCGGUAACAGGUGUAGCAAUACAUGCUGACGAGAGGCGGACGGGUGAGUAAUGCUUGGGAAUCUGCCUAUUAGUGGGGGACAACCCGGGGAAACUCGGGCUAAUACCGCAUACGCUCUACGGAGGAAAGCCGGGGACCGCAAGGCCUGGCGCUAAUAGAUGAGCCCAAGUCGGAUUAGCUAGUUGGUAGGGUAACGGCCUACCAAGGCGACAAUCCGUAGCUGGUCUGAGAGGACGACCAGCCACACCGGAACUGAGACACGGUCCGGACUCCUACGGGAGGCAGCAGUGGGGAAUAUUGGACAAUGGGGGGCAACCCUGAUCCAGCGACGCCGCGUGGGUGAAGAAGGCCUGCGGGUUGUAAAGCCCUUUCGGUGGGGAAGAAAAGUCUCGACCUAAUACGUCGGGACCUUGACGUAACCCACUAAAGAAGCACCGGCUAACUCUGUGCCAGCAG